AUUUAUCGGUGAAAUUAAUUUAUAAGACCAACUAAAACAUCAAGCACAUUAGAUCUAUUAAUGAUUGAUUAAUGUUAAUGUGCUUUUAAAAUUGAAUAAAACACAUGAUCAAUCAUAUUUUUAGCGUAUAAAAAAUAAAUCAUAUAAACGAGAUGGAAGACCAUUCUUCUUGUUUUUCUUUACAAGACUGAAAUAAGAAACUUCUUCUAAAAGUUCUUCACGCUCUAUGUAGACUAUCUCUUUCUCCAAGAAAUAUAUACUACCAAACACUUUUCAUUUUGAAAAAACAGUUUUUACUCUUCAUCUUAUCUUCAGCCAUACUAGACACAAACUCAACUUCAAGAUCAAAUAAUGCUUCUAAAAGCCAACUCAACCCAACAACCAUACUUCACGCACUCUCUUCAGCUUUUUUCUCUUUCAAUAAGAAUAUUUCAUUAAUAUGAUUUAGUUUUUAUUU
Molecule: small RNA, 457 nt
Filed under: Arabidopsis thaliana (thale cress)
Lineage: Eukaryota; Viridiplantae; Streptophyta; Magnoliopsida; Brassicales; Brassicaceae
Description: ATSL299670
Source: RNAcentral